UAUCGAAUGCCUCACCUAUCAAGAAUACACCUUGUUUCUAACGGUCAACGCAGAGAGGCUCUGCAGCAGCUGUUUCUUGAUCUACUCUGAUGCUCGUGUGUCUUGUUGUUGCAUUUCCCCUUUGGACUCGCUCACUCUCUCUCUCUUUCCUUCUCUCUUUGUUGUGAUAUCUUCUGCCGUGAGCCUCUGCUCAGUUUAACGGUCAACGUAACGCCAACAGCGACGCUGGCGCUUGUAAUCUGCUGCCCGCUUCGCCUUAGUUGUUUUUGUGAUUUCAUUCAUUUCUGGCUCUGCCGCUGCCUCUGUCGGCGCCUGAUAACAAGUCGGAGAGCGCGUCAAAAUGCUCACCUGCUCUGCUCGCGGCUGAGAGCAGGUCGCUUAUCAAAUGGCCUAUUGAUUCGGGCCAGAUUCGGGCGUCAGAGCAUCGUCGCCGACAUCAUCAUCGGUCGUCGGAGGCAUCCGAGGCAUCGAUAUCGAAGCUUACGACGACGAGUCCGUCGCUGCUGCUGCCUUACCUGUCGGAGCCCCGAGGCUGUCUCUGCCGUCUCUGCCUCUGCCGCUGGCACUGGCGUUGCCGACGCUAAAUGGAAACGCUUUGACGCGUUAUAAUAACAAGUGUUUGCCGUCUUUGGACAUUCAGUGUGCGAUAUCCCGGCGGUGCAGACUACUACGUUCGCCGCACACGGACAAAGCUUAUAUAGAGAAAAAUCCGAAAAAAAAAAUACCCAAAAACCCAAGCCCCAAGCAAGAACUUUUCGCGGAGAACAACACUCCUCCUCCGACACUCCUGAAACAAAAAGUGCAGCAAGAAACAGACACCUUUUAAAGCCCUUAAACCCUUUUGCAUUUCGAAUGAAAAAAAAUUGUGUUUUUUUUAAUGGUUGUUGUUGGUGAUAAAUCAAACAAAUUAUUGUAAUAUAACUAAGUUAUAGUCGAAAUAUCGCGUCAAAAGUCUCGAUUUGCGCGCGCGCGUCCUGUACAAAAGUUACCUGAAAAGUUAAAAGAAAACCGAAAACCCAAUCCCAAACCCAAACCAGGGAAAAGGAAACCCUAUCCAGUGAAUCCAAACAAUCCGAAUAGUUGAUGAACCAUAUCAACGGUCCGGUGACUAAGCUCAGCGACAGCCACAGCCUCAGUUCUUCUACCUCAACCUCUCUCCCCCUAGAACAUCAUCCCACCCCACAACCACGCACACAUCGCCCUACCCCCCACCCCACACACACACA
This 1226-nucleotide small RNA is filed under the name Drosophila pseudoobscura pseudoobscura. RNAcentral's name for it is "GA30637". The record is from RNAcentral. Lineage: Eukaryota; Metazoa; Arthropoda; Insecta; Diptera; Drosophilidae.